Molecule: unclassified non-coding RNA, 746 nt
Filed under: Leishmania donovani
Lineage: Eukaryota; Euglenozoa; Kinetoplastea; Trypanosomatida; Trypanosomatidae
Description: gene:unknown
Source: RNAcentral
CACUACUCUACACGCCGCCGAAUCGCCACACACGGACACAUUAUUUUCAGGAGCGAAGCGCACGUGGCCACCACCACAACGGCAAGGCCGCAGUCAACAACACCAAUUCGCGGGCACUCUCUUCCGGGCACGGCAGCAGACGCCACCGACCUGCAGGGCCGCAUCUGCGACGCGUGCGUAUACGCGGACAAAGCUUGGGAGAAGUACUGUCACAACCGACUGUUCUUUCUGCACAUUGCCUCCCCUGAUUUCGUGGUACUGGCUGCUUAUCUGCGUUGGCGCCACGCCGCGGCCUCACUUCACACGAACAACGACUUUAGGAGCCGGAGGGCUUCAUUUGGUCCCGCCGCGUGAAGGCUGCGUCCACCGCCGUUUCGGUUCCAGUAGCAGCGCCUCAGCCGAUCGUCGCUUUUCGACUCCUCACCGAAGAGCAGCGCGGCAUACGAGCGAGGCCGUAUCUUUUUUUUUUUUCGACAAACAGCAACUACGAAGAGCGGCAGUCACCCACCCGGUACCUGCAGCAGCGGUUUUCUUUCGACCGCCUCGAUCGCUCCCCCGAUAGUGCAACACGCCUGGUUAAGCAUUGAACUCUAUCAUUGAGUGGUCUUGAGUGACGUUCCUUUUUUUUGCGUGGUCUUCGGUGUGCGCUUCCAAUCCAGUAGACGCAAUCUGGCUCAGCGACUACGCGCAGUCCUUUUCUUCCGUCAAUACCGCUAUCACCACCUCUACUGCUACUUUCGCUCCAG